GACGAACCGUGCAAACGUUGUUCGGAUUCACUGGGCUUAAAGGGCGCGUAGGCGGUACGCCAAGUCUGGGGUGAAAUCUUUCGGCUCAACCGUAAAAUUGCCUGGGAUACUGGCGUGCUCGUGGGAGGUAGGGGCAGCGGGAACUGCCAGUGGAGCGGUGAAAUGCGUUGAUAUUGGCAGGAACGCCGGUGGCGAAAGCUUGCUGCUGGACCUCUUCUGACGCUGAUGCGCGAAAGCUAGGGGAGCAAACGGG
This 253-nucleotide ribosomal RNA is filed under the name uncultured bacterium. Its description in RNAcentral is "partial 16S ribosomal RNA". It matches the Rfam family "Bacterial small subunit ribosomal RNA", at positions 524 to 776 of the family's 1533-position model. The record is from RNAcentral.